AGAGUUUGAUCCUGGCUCAGGAUGAACGCUGGCGGCGUGCUUUAUGCAUGCAAGUCGAACGAGAAGGGGCGGACUUCGGUCCGGCCUGGAGAGUGGCGAACGGGUGAGUAACACGUGAGUGACCUGCCCCGAGGUGGGGGACAACCGUGGGAAACCACGGCUAAUACCCCGUAGUCCUGUGCGCAUUGGUCGCGUACAGGUAUAGCUCCGGCGCCUCGGGAGGGGCUCGCGGUCGAUUAGCUAGUUGGUGGGGUAACGGCCUACCAAGGCGACGAUCGAUAGCUGGUCUGAGAGGACGAUCAGCCACACUGGGACUGAGAUACGGCCCAGACUCCUACGGGGGGCAGCAGCAAGGAAUAUUGGACAAUGGGCGCAAGCCUGAUCCAGCAACGCCGCGUGGAGGAAGAAGGCUUCGGUUGUAAACUCCUUUUGUGAGGGAUGAGACAAGGACAGUACCUCACGAAUAAGUCACGGCUAACUAGGUGCCAGCAGCCGCGGUAACACCUAGGUGACAAGCGUUAUCCGGAUUUACUGGGCGUAAAGGGCUCGAAGGCGGCAGCUCAAGUCCGGCGUGAAAUCUCCUGGCUUAACCAGGAGGGGUCGUCGGAUACUGUGCUGCUAGAGGCAGUGAGAGGGGUGCGGAAUUCUCGGUGGAGUGGUGGAAUACGUAGAUAUCGAGAGGAACACCAGUGGCGAAAGCGGCGCCCUGGCACUGACCUGACGUUCAUGAGCGAAAGCGUGGGGAGCGAACGGGAUUAGAUACCCCGGUAGUCCACGCUGUAAACGAUGAGUACUAGGUGUAGGCGACAACCGUGGUCUGUGCCGAAGCUAACGCGAUAAGUACUCCGCCUGGGGACUACGGCCGCAAGGCUAAAACUCAAAGGAAUUGACGGGGACCCGCACAAGCAGCGGAGCGUGUUGUUUAAUUCGAUGUAACGCGAAGAACCUUACCUGGGUUUGACAUGUGCGUAGUAGUGAAGCGAAAGCCGAACGACCCUUCGGGGAGCGUACACAGGUGUUGCAUGGCUGUCGUCAGCUCGUG
This 1042-nucleotide ribosomal RNA is filed under the name uncultured bacterium. RNAcentral's name for it is "bacterial SSU rRNA". It matches the Rfam family "Bacterial small subunit ribosomal RNA", at positions 8 to 1064 of the family's 1533-position model. The record is from RNAcentral.